Molecule: long non-coding RNA, 224 nt
Filed under: Cucumis sativus (cucumber)
Lineage: Eukaryota; Viridiplantae; Streptophyta; Magnoliopsida; Cucurbitales; Cucurbitaceae
Description: long non-coding RNA (CSAT_LNC001152)
Source: RNAcentral
CAUAAUUUUUAUUAAUGUUUCUACUUCUAGAUCCAGUUCAUUACAUCGAACGAAUUUAGUUCCUCUGAGGCACAACGUUUUUUUAAAUAAAACGGCCACAUUUUCUCAUUCAUUUUAACUAUUGUUGUUUUUUCAUUUGAACAUCGACAUUCCUCCAAAUUUUACGAUACGUAAUCGUUACACUUCAUCCCUUUAGUCUUUUUACUGCUACUUGUGUUUAGGUC